UUUUAAAAUGGGCUUUGUGUUUAUAUGGGCUUAAUCAUGUGUUUUGAUUUGUGUUGGUUUGUGUUGAUUUGGCCCAUAGAUUAGAGGUUCUCGAUAUUUUUUUUCAGAUCACACGCGAUCCUUAUUCAUCUUGCUCUUCCUCUUUCUCUUCCGUUCUUCUGCAUUUAUGGUGGGCGUUAACGCACGAUUGGGCAUUUCUUCUAUCACCGAAACGAUUCGGCCUUCCGUAACGAUUCUUGAAUCCUCCUUUAUAAAGAGCACUCGAGCUGCCUUAGCCGCCGUCACUACCGUCGCCCCUGUCUCCGCCGUCACCGCCGCCUCUGCAGAUGCCGCCAUCUCCGUCACCGCCAACGUCUCCGUCGCCGCCACCGUUCCCUACACCAUCUUUAUCCCCAAGUCUAUGCUGGUGCAAGUGGUGCAGUUGCAGUUUUGAAAGCAAAUGAGGAUGCGUUUGAGGAGCAAAUGGAAAGACUACCGUCAGCAACACAUUAUUUUUGGGAACUUCCUCCUGAACUAAAAUUCCCCUUAUGCAAAGAAAAUAUGAGAGAUGCUGCUUUGACAAGCAAAUGCUGUUUCCAAAGCUUCUGUGACAAUUGUAGGUUCUCUUGUGAGUUGUGAAUACAACUGAUGCCUUUCCUGGAGGAAGCUUACCAAGUCCGGCACUUCUGUUGAACCAAUGUGUUUCUUCCAAAGUGACAAGAGUCAUCAGGUGACACGGAAAGGACAGUGCCACUUUUGUGGUCUUCCACAGAGAUAUGGCAAAACUCAUCAAGACAGAUACAUCAAGUCUAGCUCUUGAGUAGAGUAGCAGCAGCAACCCACCUCCAGUCGUGCACAUUGAAUCUGGACAAGCAACAGAACCUGCCAGCAACAAGGGUGUGCACCAAAGAUUUCAUUGGGAGUUGCUGAAGCAAGUCCGCCAGGUUCUGCAGCGGACGAGAACAAACGCAAAUGCCCGUUGAGUGAUUCUCCUAAGGCCAUCUAACCGUCAACCCCGCUUAGCUUUCGUUUCAUUCCAAUUGUCUAUUUCCACAUGUUUUCUCUACUUUGAACUUUGGUUAUCUCUUUGAUUUGCUGUAAAUGGUUUCUUACUGGUGUAAGAGUUAAUAAAGAUAGUAUUCACA
Long non-coding RNA from Raphanus sativus (radish), 1124 nucleotides. RefSeq lists it as uncharacterized. The record is from RefSeq and is a predicted model, not a curated record. The transcript has 6 exons. NCBI's taxonomy places the organism in Eukaryota, Viridiplantae, Streptophyta, Magnoliopsida, Brassicales, Brassicaceae.